GAUGAAGAACGUAGCGAAAUGCGAUACUUGGUGUGAAUUGCAGAAUCCCGUGAACCAUCGAGUCUUUGAACGCAAGUUGCGCCCGAAGCCAUUAGGCCGAGGGCACGCCUGCCUGGGCGUCACACGUCGUUGCCCCCCCAUCUACUCCUUCGGGAUUGCGGGGGGCGGAUGAUGGCCUCCCGUGCGCCUCGUCGCGCGGUUGGCAUAAAUGCCAAGUCCUCGGCGACGCACGCCACGACAAUCGGUGGUUGCGAAACCUCGGUUGCCCGUCGUGUGCGGUCGUCGCGCAUCGAGGGCUCGAAAAAAUUGUCGGGCUCCGGCUCGGCUUUCAACGCGACCCCAGGUCAGGCGGAGUUACCCGCUGAAUUUAAGCAUAUCAAUAAGCGGAGGA
Molecule: unclassified non-coding RNA, 391 nt
Filed under: soil metagenome
Description: partial contains 5.8S ribosomal RNA, internal transcribed spacer 2, and large subunit ribosomal RNA
Rfam family: 5.8S ribosomal RNA (bases 1-122)
Source: RNAcentral